RNAcentral lists this ribosomal RNA (157 nucleotides) under Rhodosporidiobolus nylandii. Its description in RNAcentral is "5.8S rRNA". It matches the Rfam family "5.8S ribosomal RNA". From Rfam's summary of the family: 5.8S ribosomal RNA (5.8S rRNA) is a component of the large subunit of the eukaryotic ribosome. The record is from RNAcentral. Lineage: Eukaryota; Fungi; Basidiomycota; Microbotryomycetes; Sporidiobolales; Sporidiobolaceae.
AAACUUUCAACAACGGAUCUCUUGGCUCUCGCAUCGAUGAAGAACGCAGCGAAAUGUGAUAAGUAAUGUGAAUUGCAGAAUUCAGUGAAUCAUCGAAUCUUUGAACGCAUCUUGCACUCCUUGGUAUUCCGAGGAGUAUGUCUGUUUGAGUGUCAUG